CUAGUUGAGCGUANUUACACAGGGCAUUGCCNUGGUGCNAAAGCUNNGAACGGGAUGAGUAACACGUGNGUAACCUGCCCCGAUGACCGGGACAACCCGAGGAAACUCGGGCUAAUACCGGAUGUGCUCUCCGCACAUAAGUGCGGUCAGCAAAGGUAGCUUCGGCUUCCGCUUCGGGAGGGGCCCGCGGCCCAUUAGCUAGUUGGUGAGGUAACGGCCCACCAAGGCAACGAUGGGUAGCUGGUCUGAGAGGACGAUCAGCCACACUGGGACUGAGACACGGCCCAGACUCCUACGGGAGGCAGCAGUGGGGAAUCUUGCGCAAUGCGCGAAAGCGUGACGCAGCAACGCCGCGUGGGGNAAGAAGGCCUUCGGNUUGUAAACCCCUUUCAGGAGGGACGAAGGUUCGGCAGUUAACAGCUGUCCGGACUGACGGUACCUCCACAAGAAGCCCCGGNUAACUACGUGCCAGCAGCCGCGNUAAUACGUAGGGGGCAAGCGUUGUCCGGAAUCAUUGGGCGUAAAGCGCGCGUAGGCGGCCCGNUCAGUCCGUUGUGAAAGUCGAAGGCUCACCNUUCGGAUGCCGAUGGAUACUGCCGGGCUANAAUCCGGANGAGGCGAGUGGAAUUCNUGGUGUAGCGGUGGANUGCGCAGAUNUCAGGAGNAACACCAAUAGCGAAGGCAGCUCGCUGGNACGNUNUUGACGCUGAGGCGCGAAAAGCGUGGGGAGCGAANAGGAUUAGAUACCCUGNUAGUCCACGCCGUAAACNAUGGGCACUAGGUGUGGNAGGGUCGACUCUNCCNGUGCCGGCCCUAAACGCAUUAAGUGCCCCNCUUGGGGNGUACGGCCNNCAGGNUUAAAACUCAAAGNAAUUGACGGGGGCCCNCANAAGCAGCGAAACAU
Molecule: ribosomal RNA, 904 nt
Filed under: uncultured Actinomycetes bacterium
Lineage: Bacteria; Bacillati; Actinomycetota; Actinomycetes
Description: uncultured actinobacterium partial 16S ribosomal RNA
Rfam family: Bacterial small subunit ribosomal RNA
Source: RNAcentral